Molecule: ribosomal RNA, 881 nt
Filed under: Melampsora laricis-epitea
Lineage: Eukaryota; Fungi; Basidiomycota; Pucciniomycetes; Pucciniales; Melampsoraceae
Description: Melampsora larici-epitea partial large subunit ribosomal RNA
Rfam family: Eukaryotic large subunit ribosomal RNA
Source: RNAcentral
AAAUAACUAUGAUUCCCUUAGUAACGGCGAGUGAACAGGGAAAAGCCCAAAUUUGUAAUCUGGCACUUUUUACAAGUGUCCGAGUUGUAAUUUGUAGAGCUGUUAUCCGUACUGGACCAUGUACAAGUCUGUUGAAAAGCAGCAUCAUUGAAGGUGAAAAUCCUGUAGAUGAUAUGGACUACCAGUAUAUUUGUGAUACGGUUUCUAAGAGUCGAGUUGUUUGGGAAUGCAGCUCAAAGUGGGUGGUAAAUUCCAUCUAAGGCUAAAUAUAAGUGAGAGACCGAUAGCAAACAAGUACCGUGAGGGAAAGAUGAAAAGAACUUUGAAAAUAGAGUUAACAGUACGUGAAAUUGCUGAAAGGGAAACGUUUGAAGUUAGUUUUGUAUUCGUUGGAUCAGCUUCGCAAGGAGUGUAUUCUGAUGAUAAGCAAGUCAACAUCAGUCUAUGAGUGUUGGAUAAGGGUUUUGAGAAUGUAGCAAUUUAAUUGUGUUAUAGCUUGAGACUUGGAUACGAUGCUUUGGAUUGAGGAACGCGUAGUAAGCUUUGAGCGGAUUCGAAAGGAUCUCCUUACUAUGGAUGUUGGUGAAAUAACUUUAAGCGACCCGUCUUGAAACACGGACCAAGGAGUCUAACAUGCUUGCGAGUAUUAGGGUGUUGAAACCCGAAUGCGUAAUGAAAGUGAAUCUAAGAUGUGAUCCGCAAGGUGCAACAUCGGCCAGUCUGGAUCAUUUAUGUGAAGGUACUGAGCAAGAGCAAGUAUGUUAGGACCCGAAAGAUGGUGAACUAUGCCUGGAUAGGGUGAAGUCAGAGGAAACUCUGAUGGAAGCUCGUAGCGGUUCUGACGUGCAAAUCGAUCGUAGAAUCUGGGUAUAGGGGCGAAA